This 498-nucleotide ribosomal RNA is filed under the name uncultured bacterium. RNAcentral's name for it is "partial 16S ribosomal RNA". It matches the Rfam family "Bacterial small subunit ribosomal RNA", at positions 899 to 1397 of the family's 1533-position model. The record is from RNAcentral.
ACUCAAAGGAAUAGACGGGGGCCCGCACAAGCGGUGGAGCAUGUGGUUCAAUUCGACGCAACGCGAAGAACCUUACCUGGGCUCGAAAUGUAGGAGACAGGGGUAGAAAUAUCCCUUUCCGCAAGGACUGCUAUAUAGGUGCUGCAUGGCUGUCGUCAGCUCGUGUCGUGAGAUGUUGGGUUAAGUCCCGCAACGAGCGCAACCCUUAUCUCUAGUUGCCAUCGGGUCAAGCCGGGCACUCUAGCGAAACCGCUUCGGAUAACGGAGAGGAAGGUGGGGAUGACGUCAAGUCCUCAUGGCCUUUAUGUCCAGGGCUACACACGUGCUACAAUGCGCGGUACAAAACGUCGCAAACCCGUGAGGGGGAGCUAAUCGGAAAAAGCCGUGCUCAGUUCGGAUUGGAGUCUGCAAUUCGACUCCAUGAAGCUGGAAUCGCUAGUAAUCGCGGAUCAGAACGCCGCGGUGAAUACGUUCCCGGGCCUUGUACACACCGCCCGU